RNAcentral lists this unclassified non-coding RNA (376 nucleotides) under soil metagenome. RNAcentral's name for it is "partial contains 5.8S ribosomal RNA, internal transcribed spacer 2, and large subunit ribosomal RNA". The stretch from base 1 to 120 matches the Rfam family "5.8S ribosomal RNA", at positions 35 to 154 of the family's 154-position model. The record is from RNAcentral.
GAUGAAGAACGCAGCGAAAUGCGAUAAGUAAUGUGAAUUGCAGAAUUCAGUGAAUCAUCGAAUCUUUGAACGCAUCUUGCGCUCCUUGGUAUUCUGAGGAGCAUGCCUGUUUGAGUGUCAUUAAAUUCUCAACUACACUGACUUUGAAUUGGUGUGGCUUGGAUUUGGGGGGAAAAUUGUUGUGGGCUUUUUGUAUAGUCUGCUCCCCUGAAAUUGAUUAGCGGUACCUUUGUGGAACUGUCUACAGGUGUGAUAAUUAUCUACAUCUUAGACAUCUGCUGGAAUGCUGCUUUCUAAACCUUACUUGUAUUGACAAUCUUGACCUCACAUCAGGUAGGACUACCCGCUGAACUUAAGCAUAUCAAUAAGCGGAGGA